Long non-coding RNA from Papaver somniferum (opium poppy), 1751 nucleotides. RefSeq lists it as uncharacterized. NCBI's taxonomy places the organism in Eukaryota, Viridiplantae, Streptophyta, Magnoliopsida, Ranunculales, Papaveraceae. The record is from RefSeq and is a predicted model, not a curated record. The transcript is spliced from 11 exons.
UUCAUUUCCCAUUUCUCUUUUCUCCUUUUCUGCUCCUGCCUCCAAACCCUAGUGAAACUUCAUCUUCAUCUUCAAUAAUCGACAGCGAAGAAACAUCACAGAAAGCUCUCAAUCAUCUUCAGUCAUCGAAUUUUAUUCUCGUGUUUCAUUUCUUAUCUCUCUUUUAUCAUCGUUUUUUUGAUUUUAGGGUUUUUCAUCGUCUGUUAAUCUAGUUUAGGAUUUUGAUUUCAUAGAUCUGUACAAGUCUUUCAUCAUCUGUAGGGUUUUAGUUUUUUCAAUUUGUCAUGUAUGUUGAUUUGAAGAUGAUUUGGUAUCAUUGAAGGAAGAGGAAGAUAACUCAUCGACCCAAUUAGGUUUUUUACACCAUACAAAUCGAGAGAAAAAGGCUUCAAUAAAAAUCAUGGAUCGUGAAAAUUGGAGCUGUAGAUGCUUCAGGGGGAGGUGGUUCUCUAGGGGGUUGAGUAGAUUCUGAAGCAGAGGCUAUGAAGAUGAAUCUGACGAAUCAAAAUCAGAAAAGUGAAUGAUUAAGAUGAUGAAGAAGAUGAGAUUAGUGGAGAGAUGUCCUGCUUAAGUUUGGGGAUUAUACAACAGUGAGAGGAAUGGUGCUUAAGGAUUUUAUUCUCUUCUUUUGAUCUGGCAUCAGUUCUGUAGCUAUGAAAUAUAUGUUUACGUGAUGGCUCUUUAGGAGAGGAAUGACCAGAACUCUAAUUCAUUCAGUUCUCGGAUUUAUAUUGUUGUUUUGAAUGUUUAUGCUGCUUUGUGAGUAUUUCUUUCGCUGCUUCUUAAGUAUCCGGCUUCUCUCACUUUGUUAAAAAGGACUAAUCAGUCCUCCUUUCAGUUCUCCAAGAGGAUUUAUGAGAAGCGAUAUUUGUGCGUCAUGGCCUGUUCGAGAGGAUGAGUAACUAUUUGAGCGUGUUCUUGAUGCUCUUUUUCCCUCAGUUCUUUGAGGUACUUGUGCCAUUCGUGGAGCAUUUGGUUGUGGAAAGACAGUCAUCAGUCAAGCUCGUUCUAAGUACUCUAAUUCAGAGACUGGUUUACGUUGGUUGUGGAGAAAGAGGAAAUGAGAUGGAUGAUGUUGUUAUGGAUUUCCCUAAUCUGACCAUGACAUUAGCUGAUGGCCAACUCUUGUAGCUAACACAUCUAACUUGCCUGUGGUUGCUCAAGAGUCCUCUAUUUAUACAAGAAUCACAGUUGCUGAAUACUUCCGAGAUAUGGGUUCUUACAAAGUUAUUAUGAUGGAUGAUCUUACAUAUUGAUGGGUAGAGGCUUUACGUUAAAUUUCAGACUCCCCUGAUGAAGCUCUUCGGAUGUAUGAUGAUGGUUGCCCCAUCCUUGAAGAACAUGAAAAGGAGAAAAUCGCAUUUGAUCUAUAUCGUGUUGUUGCCAGUGUUUAUAUACAAUGAAGUACUGCGUAGCUGCUUAUUUCUUGGAAGAGAGAGCUCCUGCAAGAGAAGUGUCCAUGGAUUGAAGAUGCGUAGCUGCUGUCUCUUUGGAUUCCAUUCGCUUCACUGAUUCUGCUUCAAAUGCAGCAGUCUGCGGCAUGAGAAGCCUGUUAUGUGAGUCAUGUUUCUGUGCAUGUUAGUCUGCGACAUGAGAAAAUUUAGAAAUAGGUUAGGAACCUAGGAAGUUUUUUAAGUUUCUGUGAACUGCAUUUUGGAACUUGGUGAGUUUCUAUGUAUUCCCCUUAGAAAUUUGAUACUUGACAAAAAAAGAUUGGUACUUAGAAAAAUUUCAGUUCUUUUUUGAUAUGA